UUGUAGUACCCCGUUGACUUAAGCAUAUCAAUAAGCGGAGGAAAAGAAACCAACAGGGAUUGCCCUAGUAACGGCGAGUGAAGCGGCAACAGCUCAAAUUUGAAAUCUGGCGUCUUCGGCGUCCGAGUUGUAAUUUGCAGAGGGCGCUUUGGCAUUGGCAGCGGUCCAAGUUCCUUGGAACAGGACGUCACAGAGGGUGAGAAUCCCGUACGUGGUCGCUAGCCUUUACCGUGUAAAGCCCCUUCGACGAGUCGAGUUGUUUGGGAAUGCAGCUCUAAAUGGGAGGUAAAUUUCUUCUAAAGCUAAAUACUGGCCAGAGACCGAUAGCGCACAAGUAGAGUGAUCGAAAGAUGAAAAGCACUUUGGAAAGAGAGUUAAAAAGCACGUGAAAUUGUUGAAAGGGAAGCGCUUGCAGCCAGACUUGCCUGUAGUUGCUCAUCCGGGUUUCUACCCGGUGCACUCUUCUAUAGGCAGGCCAGCAUCAGUUUGGGCGGUUGGAUAAAGGUCUCUGUCAUGUACCUCCUCUCGGGGAGAACUUAUAGGGGAGACGACAUGCAACCAGCCCGGACUGAGGUCCGCGCAUCUGCUAGGAUGCUGGCGUAAUGGCUGUAAGCGGCCCGUCUUGAAACACGGACCAAGGAGUCUAACAUCUAUGCGAGUGUUUGGGUGUCAAGCCCGAACGCGUAAUGAAAGUGAACGGAGGUGGGAACCUUUCGGGGUGCACCAUCGACCGAUCCUGAUGUCUUCGGAUGGAUUUGAGUAAGAGCAUAGCUGUUGGGACCCGAAAGAUGGUGAACUAUGCUUGAAUAGGGUGAAGCCAGAGGAAACUCUGGUGGAGGCUCGCAGCGGGUUCUGACGUGCAAAUCGAUCGUCAAAUUUGGGCAUAGGGGCGAAAGACUAAUCGAACUAUCUAGUAGCUGGUUCCUGCCGAAGUCUCCUCUCAGAGUAGUAAAAAC
This 956-nucleotide ribosomal RNA is filed under the name Remotididymella bauhiniae. RNAcentral's name for it is "partial large subunit ribosomal RNA". It matches the Rfam family "Eukaryotic large subunit ribosomal RNA", at positions 24 to 988 of the family's 3401-position model. The record is from RNAcentral. Lineage: Eukaryota; Fungi; Ascomycota; Dothideomycetes; Pleosporales; Didymellaceae.